Molecule: long non-coding RNA, 1011 nt
Filed under: Sinocyclocheilus anshuiensis
Lineage: Eukaryota; Metazoa; Chordata; Actinopteri; Cypriniformes; Cyprinidae
Description: lncRNA (ENSSANG00000026241.1)
Source: RNAcentral
GUGGGGUCAGACUGAUUAGUGAGGAUGUGAUAUCUUUACUGUCCUUUCCUGCAGCUCAUGCCUCAGUGCCAUUACAGGCUAUAGUACGGUGGCCGAGAGAGCUCAACGCGCUGCAACUUAAGAAAACACAUGCAAAUUGAAAAAACACCAGCAAAUUAAGAAAACAUCUUCAUCAGUUUGACAACACACGCGCUGCAAAUCCUCACAACACAUGCAAACGAAGAAACGCGCUGCAAAUCCUCACAACACAUGCAAACGAAGAAACGCGCUGCAAAUCCUCACAACACAUGCAAACGAAGAAACGCGCUGCAAAUCCUCACAACACAUGCAAACGAAGAAACGCGCUGCAAAUCCUCACAACACAUGCAAACGAAGAAACGCGCUGCAAAUCCUCACAACACAUGCAAACGAAGAAACGCGCUGCAAAUCCUCACAACACAUGCAAACGAAGAAACGCGCUGCAAAUCCUCACAACACAUGCAAACGAAGAAACGCGCUGCAAAUCCUCACAACACAUGCAAACGAAGAAACGCGCUGCAAAUCCUCACAACACAUGCAAACGAAGAAACGCGCUGCAAAUCCUCACAACACAUGCAAACGAAGAAACGCGCUGCAAAUCCUCACAACACAUGCAAACGAAGAAACGCGCUGCAAAUCCUCACAACACAUGCAAACGAAGAAACGCGCUGCAAAUCCUCACAACACAUGCAAACGAAGAAACGCGCUGCAAAUCCUCACAACACAUGCAAACGAAGAAACGCGCUGCAAAUCCUCACAACACAUGCAAACGAAGAAACGCGCUGCAAAUCCUCACAACACAUGCAAACGAAGAAACGCGCUGCAAAUCCUCACAACACAUGCAAACGAAGAAACGCGCUGCAAAUCCUCACAACACAUGCAAACGAAGAAACGCGCUGCAAAUCCUCACAACACAUGCAAACGAAGAAACGCGCUGCAAAUCCUCACAACACAUGCAAACGAAGAAACNNNNNNNNNNNNNNNNNNNNNNNN